This 330-nucleotide unclassified non-coding RNA is filed under the name soil metagenome. RNAcentral describes it as "partial contains 5.8S ribosomal RNA, internal transcribed spacer 2, and large subunit ribosomal RNA". The stretch from base 1 to 120 matches the Rfam family "5.8S ribosomal RNA", at positions 35 to 154 of the family's 154-position model. The record is from RNAcentral.
GAUGAAGAACGUAGUGAAAUGCGAUAAGUAGUGUGAAUUGCAGAAUUCAGUGAAUCAUCGAAUCUUUGAACGCACAUUGCGCCCUUUGGUAUUCCUUAGGGCAUGCCUGUUCGAGCGUCAUUUAAACCUUCAAGCUAAGCUUGGUGUUGGGUGACUGUCCGCUUCACGGCGGACUCGCCUCAAAAUUAUUGGCGGCCGGUACAUUGGCUUCGAGCGCAGCAGAAACGCGAACUCGGGCCCGUCGUAUUGGCUCCCAGAAGCUAUCUUCACAAUUUUGACCUCGGAUCAGGUAGGGAUACCCGCUGAACUUAAGCAUAUCAAAGCGGAGGA